UACACAUGCAAGUCGAGCGGAUGAAAGGAGCUUGCUCCUGGAUUCAGCGGCGGACGGGUGAGUAAUGCCUAGGAAUCUGCCUGGUAGUGGGGGACAACGUUUCGAAAGGAACGCUAAUACCGCAUACGUCCUACGGGAGAAAGCAGGGGACCUUCGGGCCUUGCGCUAUCAGAUGAGCCUAGGUCGGAUUAGCUAGUUGGUGAGGUAAUGGCUCACCAAGGCGACGAUCCGUAACUGGUCUGAGAGGAUGAUCAGUCACACUGGAACUGAGACACGGUCCAGACUCCUACGGGAGGCAGCAGUGGGGAAUAUUGGACAAUGGGCGAAAGCCUGAUCCAGCCAUGCCGCGUGUGUGAAGAAGGUCUUCGGAUUGUAAAGCACUUUAAGUUGGGAGGAAGGGCAGUAAAUUAAUACUUUGCUGUUUUGACGUUACCGACAGAAUAAGCACCGGCUAACUCUGUGCCAGCAGCCGCGGUAAUACAGAGGGUGCAAGCGUUAAUCGGAAUUACUGGGCGUAAAGCGCGCGUAGGUGGUUUGUUAAGUUGGAUGUGAAAUCCCCGGGCUCAACCUGGGAACUGCAUUCAAAACUGACAAGCUAGAGUAUGGUAGAGGGUGGUGGAAUUUCCUGUGUAGCGGUGAAAUGCGUAAAUAUAGGAAGGAACACCAGUGGCGAAGGCCACCACCUGGACUGAUACUGACACUGAGGUGC
RNAcentral lists this ribosomal RNA (709 nucleotides) under Pseudomonas sp. SH-1-16. RNAcentral's name for it is "bacterial SSU rRNA". It matches the Rfam family "Bacterial small subunit ribosomal RNA", at positions 50 to 754 of the family's 1533-position model. The record is from RNAcentral. Lineage: Bacteria; Pseudomonadati; Pseudomonadota; Gammaproteobacteria; Pseudomonadales; Pseudomonadaceae.